UGGGGAAUAUUGCACAAUGGGCGCAAGCCUGAUGCAGCAACGCCGCGUGAGGGACGACGGCCUUCGGGUUGUAAACCUCUUUUAGUAGGGAAGAAGCGAAAGUGACGGUACCUGCAGAAAAAGCACCGGCUAACUACGUGCCAGCAGCCGCGGUAAUACGUAGGGUGCGAGCGUUGUCCGGAAUUAUUGGGCGUAAAGAGCUCGUAGGCGGUCUGUCGCGUCUGCUGUGAAAACCCGAGGCUCAACCUCGGGCCUGCAGUGGGUAGCGGGCAGACUAGAGUGCGGUAGGGGAGAAUGGAAUUCCUGGUGUAGCGGUGGAAUGCGCAGAUAUCAGGAGGAACACCGAUGGCGAAGGCAGUUCUCUGGGCCGUAACUGACGCUGAGGAGCGAAAGCGUGGGGAGCGAACAGGAUUAGAUACCCUGGUAGUCCACGCCGUAAACGUUGGGCGCUAGAUGUGGGGACCAUUCCACGGUUUCCGUGUCGCAGCUAACGCAUUAAGCGCCCCGCCUGGGGAGUACGGCCGCAAGGCUAAAACUU
This 538-nucleotide ribosomal RNA is filed under the name uncultured bacterium. RNAcentral describes it as "partial 16S ribosomal RNA". It matches the Rfam family "Bacterial small subunit ribosomal RNA", at positions 355 to 902 of the family's 1533-position model. The record is from RNAcentral.